Molecule: small nucleolar RNA, 85 nt
Organism: Salvia splendens (bonfire salvia)
Lineage: Eukaryota; Viridiplantae; Streptophyta; Magnoliopsida; Lamiales; Lamiaceae
Product: small nucleolar RNA R38
Exons: 1
Source: RefSeq, a predicted model, not a curated record
UUCACUGCAUGAUGAGAACAAUAUAUUUACAGUUAUCCCUGUCUGAUUAAAUUCCCAUGCUUAUUUCUUGUAAUCUGACAGUGAA